CAUCAUGACAUCAUCAUGACGUCACUAUCAUCAGGAGCCAAUCGGAGCAGGCCUCUGUGGCCACACCCACUACAGCACAGGUGUCAAACUCCAUUCCUCAAGGGCCGGUGUUCUGCAACUUUUAGAUGUGCCUCUGCUGCACCACACCUGAAUAGAAUAAUUCAGUCAUUAGCAAGGCUCUGGAGACCUGAUCUACACAAGGAGAAGGUAAUUCAGCCUUUUCAUGCCAGUGUUUUGUACCUGAGGCACAUCUAAAACCUGCAGGACAGCGGCCCUUGAGGACUGGAGUUUGACACCCCUGCACUACAGCUUCAGACAGGGAGGUUACGUGACUGGAACCAGAACCUCCUGAGGAACCGGGUCACCUGGUUCUGAUUUGUUAAAACGUCCCAAACAGAACCUGAUCGGCUGGCCCAGUUCUGGUUCUGAGCCGACUCGGACAGAGGGAGCAGACCAGAACCAGUUAAUCCAAGCUGCGUCAGGACGUGUGCAGGUCACGUGACGCUCACCUUUAUAGAAGAGGCUGUAGGUGGAGCCGCUCAGGUUGGAGAAGACGGCCGCCACCUUCCGGCUCAGGUACUCGAAGCUGCAGGAAACCUCCUGGUCCACCGCGAACCGGCGGAUCUCCUUCACCUGCUCGUCCUUCCCCAGCAGGUAGGCCUUUACUGUCACCGACAUCCCGACCGGAACCGAACCGAACCGAGAGAGAGAAA
Molecule: long non-coding RNA, 713 nt
Organism: Xiphophorus hellerii (green swordtail)
Lineage: Eukaryota; Metazoa; Chordata; Actinopteri; Cyprinodontiformes; Poeciliidae
Exons: 2
Source: RefSeq, a predicted model, not a curated record